UAAGAGGUCCCGCCUGCCCUGUGACUAUAUGUUCAACGGCCGCGGUAUUUUGACCGUGCGAAGGUAGCGCAAUCACUUGUCUUUUAAAUGGAGACCUGUAUGAAUGGCAUAACGAGGGCUUAACUGUCUCCUCUUUCAAGUCAAUGAAAUUGAUCUCCCCGUGCAGAAGCGGGGAUACACCCAUAAGACGAGAAGACCCUGUGGAGCUUUAGACACCAAGACGGCCCCCACGUGGUAACAAACCCAAAAUAAAGAGCUGAACCACGUACCCUCCCCGUCCUAAUGUCUUUGGUUGGGGCGACCGCGGAGUAAGACUAAACCUCCACGUGGACUGGGAAUACCCUCAUAACCACAACCAAGAGCUUCAGCUCUAACUAACAGAAUUUCUGACCUAUAAGAUCCGGCAAUGCCGAUCAACGGACCGAGUUACCCCAGGGAUAACAGCGCAAUCCCCUUUUAGAGCCCAUAUCGACAAGGGGGUUUACGACCUCGAUGUUGGAUCAGGACAUCCUAAUGGUGCAGCCGCUAUUAAGGGUUCGUUUGUUCAACG
Molecule: ribosomal RNA, 550 nt
Filed under: Hoplolatilus purpureus (purple sand tilefish)
Lineage: Eukaryota; Metazoa; Chordata; Actinopteri; Malacanthidae
Description: partial 16S large subunit ribosomal RNA
Rfam family: Bacterial large subunit ribosomal RNA
Source: RNAcentral